GACGUAGGGCGCGAGCGUUGUCCGGAUUUAUUGGGCGUAAAGAGCGUGUAGGCGGCCAGGUAGGUCUGCUGUGAAAACUCGAGGCUCAACCUCGAGACGUCGGCGGAAACCAUCUGGCUAGAGUCCGGAAGAGGAGAGUAGAAUUCCUGGUGUAGCGGUGAAAUGCGCAGAUAUCAGGAAGAACACCCGUGGCGAAGGCGGCUCUCUGGGACGGUACUGACGCUGAGACGCGAAAGCGUGGGGAGCGAACAGG
This 253-nucleotide ribosomal RNA is filed under the name uncultured bacterium. Its description in RNAcentral is "partial 16S ribosomal RNA". It matches the Rfam family "Bacterial small subunit ribosomal RNA", at positions 524 to 776 of the family's 1533-position model. The record is from RNAcentral.